UAAUGGGGAGCUGUAGCAAAGAACUCCCCUUUUUUUUUCUUCUCUCUGACAAAGGAAAGCUUCCAGGAGACUUUCAAUUCAUGGAAAACUGACCAUUUCUAUUACAAAUACAAUAAACGACAAGGAAACAAGACAUAGAAGGAAGCGAACCAGAAACAGUGGCCACUCAAUCCUUUCUUUCCUGGCCUCAUCAAGUUCGUUACUGUUGUCCAUGAAAAUGUCUUGCUAGCAACUUUGUGAAUAUGACUGAGCUGAAAAAGCGGCACAAAGGUUCUCUCUUUGCUAAACAAAGGAUUCUUGCAACCAAAACAGAGGAGAAUCAGUCAAAUAGAUAGUGUCAAGCAGGCGGCGCAGUGGUGAAUCAGUAUAAAUCAAUGCUGUUGGAUCUGUGGUCAGUGAUGUUGAUUCUGCGCAAUGAUUGGCCCUCAACUAAUUGAAUUGUGGUAUGUCCUUAUGAUCCUUUUGCUUCUUCUGUAGAUUGUAGAACUCGUGAAUUGCUGCCACACACUUGUAAUGUCAUUGAUCGAGCAAAUGUAGAUAAACAGUAAGUGUGCCAUCGAUUCUGGCUUUCUAUUUGGUAAGCAAUCAAGAGACAACCCAUGUUUUUGAUCAAUAGAGAGCAUAAUGACUUUCUAUUUGGUUUUUCAUGCUCGGUUUGUCCUGGACUUCUAAAAAUCAUGAAUAGGCAAAUUGCCCCAAAUCCAGAUAUAUGGCUUAAAAGCUCAAAAGAAUCUAAGGUUGAGACAUGCCUUCGAGCUUUUGUGGUCAAAUUUUGUUAUAGUACAAGGAGAACAAUUAUGUUUUGUUAUGCUGGUUAGUGUCAUAACGUGAAGAAAAGUUUAUUUAGCACAUAAGUACUAAAAUAGUUGUAAUGACAUCAGUACUAAAAUAGUUAACUGUUUGAUAGAGAAAAAUGUUGAACAAGUGUAUGAAAUAUCACUUUUAUCCUUAGUGAAGGAAAAACCUAAUAACUUAAUUAUUUUUUUCCGACUU
This is a long non-coding RNA of Gossypium raimondii (Peruvian cotton), 993 nucleotides long. RefSeq lists it as uncharacterized. The transcript is spliced from 3 exons. The record is from RefSeq and is a predicted model, not a curated record. Lineage: Eukaryota; Viridiplantae; Streptophyta; Magnoliopsida; Malvales; Malvaceae.